This 491-nucleotide ribosomal RNA is filed under the name uncultured bacterium. Its description in RNAcentral is "partial 16S ribosomal RNA". It matches the Rfam family "Bacterial small subunit ribosomal RNA", at positions 29 to 506 of the family's 1533-position model. The record is from RNAcentral.
AGUGAACGCUGGCGGUAGGCCUAACACAUGCAAGUCGAACGGCAGCACAGUAAGAGCUUGCUCUUACGGGUGGCGAGUGGCGGACGGGUGAGGAAUACAUCGGAAUCUACUUUUUCGUGGGGGAUAACGUAGGGAAACUUACGCUAAUACCGCAUACGACCUACGGGUGAAAGCAGGGGAUCUUCGGACCUUGCGCGAUUGAAUGAGCCGAUGUCGGAUUAGCUAGUUGGCGGGGUAAAGGCCCACCAAGGCGACGAUCCGUAGCUGGUCUGAGAGGAUGAUCAGCCACACUGGAACUGAGACACGGUCCAGACUCCUACGGGAGGCAGCAGUGGAGAAUAUUGGACAAUGGGCGCAAGCCUGAUCCAGCCAUACCGCGUGGGUGAAGAAGGCCUUCGGGUUGUAAAGCCCUUUUGUUGGGAAAGAAAAGCAGCAGGUUAAUACCCCGCUGUUCUGACGGUACCCAAAGAAUAAGCACCGGCUAACUUCGU